CCUACGGGAGGCAGCAGUAGGGAAUCUUCCGCAAUGGACGAAAGUCUGACGGAGCAACGCCGCGUGAGUGAUGAAGGUUUUCGGAUCGUAAAACUCUGUUGUUAGGGAAGAACAAGUACCGGAGUAACUGCCGGUACCUUGACGGUACCUAACCAGAAAGCCACGGCUAACUACGUGCCAGCAGCCGCGGUAAUACGUAGGUGGCAAGCGUUGUCCGGAAUUAUUGGGCGUAAAGCGCGCGCAGGCGGUUCCUUAAGUCUGAUGUGAAAGCCCACGGCUCAACCGUGGAGGGUCAUUGGAAACUGGGGAACUUGAGUGCAGAAGAGAAGAGCGGAAUUCCACGUGUAGCGGUGAAAUGCGUAGAGAUGUGGAGGAACACCAGUGGCGAAGGCGGCUCUUUGGUCUGUAACUGACGCUGAGGCGCGAAAGCGUGGGGAGCA
This 440-nucleotide ribosomal RNA is filed under the name uncultured bacterium. Its description in RNAcentral is "bacterial SSU rRNA". It matches the Rfam family "Bacterial small subunit ribosomal RNA", at positions 338 to 770 of the family's 1533-position model. The record is from RNAcentral.